UACGUAGGGUCCGAGCGUUGUCCGGAAUUAUUGGGCGUAAAGGGCUCGUAGGCGGUUUGUCGCGUCGGGUGUGAAAACCCGGGGCUUAACCCCGUGCCUGCUUCCGAUACGGGCAGACUAGAGGUAUGCAGGGGAGAACGGAAUUCCCGGUGUAGUGGUGAAAUGCGUAGAGAUCAGCAGGAACACCCGUGGCAAAGGCGGCCCCCUGGGCCGAACCUGACGCUGAGGCGCGAAGGCUAGGGGAGCGAACGGG
RNAcentral lists this ribosomal RNA (253 nucleotides) under uncultured bacterium. RNAcentral describes it as "partial 16S ribosomal RNA". It matches the Rfam family "Bacterial small subunit ribosomal RNA", at positions 524 to 776 of the family's 1533-position model. The record is from RNAcentral.